This 29-nucleotide small RNA is filed under the name Bombyx mori (domestic silkworm). RNAcentral's name for it is "ovarian small RNA-30719". The record is from RNAcentral. Lineage: Eukaryota; Metazoa; Arthropoda; Insecta; Lepidoptera; Bombycidae.
UGAACCCUUCCGAGGUUCCCGGUUGGGGA